This 493-nucleotide ribosomal RNA is filed under the name uncultured bacterium. RNAcentral's name for it is "partial 16S ribosomal RNA". It matches the Rfam family "Bacterial small subunit ribosomal RNA", at positions 29 to 507 of the family's 1533-position model. The record is from RNAcentral.
ACGAACGCUGGCGGCGUGCUUAACACCUGCAAGUCGAACGGAAAGGCCUGCUUUCCCUUGUGGAUUGCGGGUACUCGAGUGGCGAACGGGUGAGUAACACGUGAGUGAUCUGCCCCCAACUUGGGUAUAAGCCUGGGAAACUGGGUCUAAUUCCCGAUAGGACUGCAGGGUGGUGCCUGUGGUGGAAAACGAUUUUCUAGUGGUUGGGGAUGAGCUCGCGGCCUAUCAGCUUGUUGGUGGGGUAAUGGCCUACCAAGGCGGCGACGGGUAGCCGGCCUGAGGGGGUGGACGGCCACAUUGGGACUGAGAUACGGCCCAGACUCCUACGGGAGGCAGCAGUGGGGAAUAUUGCACAAUGGGCGGAAGCCUGAUGCAGCGACGCCGCGUGGGGGAUGACGGCCUUCGGGUUGUAAGCUCCUUUCGACCGCGAGGAAGCCACCUGGUUGGAAGGGUGGUGACGGUAGUGGUAGAAGAAGCACCGGCUAACUACGUG